GGGGCUUCCUCCAGGGUACCGUCAUUUGUUUCUUCCCCAAGGACAGAGCUUUACGACCCAAAGGCCUUCAUCGCUCACGCGGCGUUGCUGCAUCAGGCUUUCGCCCAUUGUGCAAUAUUCCUCACUGCUGCCUCCCGUAGGAGUUUGGACCGUGUCUCAGUUCCAAUGUGGCNGAUGAACCUCUCAGUUCUGCUACUGAUCGCAGCCUUGGUGAGCCGUUACCUCACCAACUAGCUAAUCAGACGCAGGCCCAUCCCAUACCGAUAAAUCUUUGGCCAAAGAGCCAUGUGACUCGAUGGCAUUAUGAGGUUUUAAUCCCGAUUUCUCGAGGCUAUCCCUCUGUAUGGGGCAGGUUGCCUACGCGUUACUCACCCGUCCGCCGCU
This 384-nucleotide ribosomal RNA is filed under the name uncultured SAB reactor bacterium band 5. RNAcentral describes it as "partial 16S ribosomal RNA". The record is from RNAcentral.